GUUCCAGUAGUAUUAUCCGACCAGGCUGGGUGACUGUUCUGAGGUUUCAGUAGUAGUAUUAUCCAACCAGGCUGGGUGACUGUUCUGAGGUUUCAGUAGUAGUAUUAUCCAACCAGGCUGGGUGACUGUUCUGAGGUUUCAGUGGUAGUAUUAUCCAACCAGGCUGGGUGACUGUUGUGAGGUUUCAGUGGUAGUAUUAUCCAACCAGGCUGGGUGACAGUUCUGAGGUUUCAGUGGUAGUAUUAUCCAACCAGGCUGGGUGACUGUUCUGAGGUUUCAGUAGUAGUAUUAUCCAACCAGGCUGGGUGACUGUUCUGAGGUUUCAGUAGUAGUAUUGGAUGAAGACCACUAGGGGGCAGAGUUGUUCCAGAUCAGUAACCCAACCCCAAGCUCCUGUCAUAUCAUGUUGUAAGAUGUUCUCAUCCUCAACAGCCUCCCUCCUCUCUCCUCUCUCUCGUCACAACCCCUAGCUGAUAUAGAGCUAGACGUCAUCAACUAGAUCAUCCACCGUGUAUAUAGAGCUAGACGUUCCCCAACUAGAUCAUCCACCUAGCUAUAGAGCUAGACGUUCCUCAACUAGAUCAUCC
RNAcentral lists this long non-coding RNA (587 nucleotides) under Salmo salar (Atlantic salmon). RNAcentral describes it as "lncRNA (ENSSSAG00000103154.1)". The record is from RNAcentral. Lineage: Eukaryota; Metazoa; Chordata; Actinopteri; Salmoniformes; Salmonidae.